RNAcentral lists this ribosomal RNA (678 nucleotides) under uncultured marine bacterium. RNAcentral describes it as "bacterial SSU rRNA". It matches the Rfam family "Bacterial small subunit ribosomal RNA", at positions 54 to 774 of the family's 1533-position model. The record is from RNAcentral.
CAUGCAAGUCGAACGAAGUAGCAAUACUUAGUGGCAGACGGGUGAGUAACAUGUAGGUAUCUGCCCUUUGGCCUGGAAUAACACGAGGAAACUUGUGCUAAUACCGGAUAAGUCUUUACGGAGAAAGCUUUAUGCACCAUUGGAUGAGCCUGCACUUGAUUAGUUUGUUGGUGGGGUAAUGGCCUACCAAGACUGUGAUCAAUAGCUGAUUUGAGAGGAUGAUCAGCCACAUUGGGACUGAGACACGGCCCAAACUCCUACGGGAGGCAGCAGUGGGGAAUCUUGCACAAUGGAGGAAACUCUGAUGCAGCGAUGCCGCGUGAGUGAAGAAGGCCCUUGGGUUGUAAAGCUCUUUCGUCGGGGAAGAAAAUGACUGUACCCGAAUAAGAAGGUCCGGCUAACUUCGUGCCAGCAGCCGCGGUAAUACGAAGGGACCUAGCGUAGUUCGGAAUUACUGGGCUUAAAGAGUUCGUAGGUGGUUGAAAAAGUUAGUGGUGAAAUCCCAGAGCUUAACUCUGGAACUGCCAUUAAAACUUUUCAGCUAGAGUAUGAUAGAGGAAAGCAGAUUUUCUAGUGGUAGAGGGUGAAAUUCGUAAGAUAUUAGAAAGAAUACCAAUUGCGAAGGCAGCUUUCUGGAUCAUUACUGACACUGAGGAACGAAAGCAUGGGUAGCGAAGA